CGUGGGGAACCUGCCCCAUAGUCUGGGAUACCACUUGGAAACAGGUGCUAAUACCGGAUAAGAAAGCGGAUCGCAUGAUCAGCUUUUAGAAGGCGGCGUAAGCUGUCGCUAUGGGAUGGCCCCGCGGUGCAUUAGCUAGUUUGUAAGGUAAAGGCUUACCAAGGCGAUGAUGCAUAGCCGAGUUGAGAGACUGAUCGGCCACAUUGGGACUGAGACACGGCCCAAACUCCUACGGGAGGCAGCAGCU
This 247-nucleotide ribosomal RNA is filed under the name uncultured Lactobacillus sp. RNAcentral describes it as "partial 16S ribosomal RNA". It matches the Rfam family "Bacterial small subunit ribosomal RNA", at positions 116 to 355 of the family's 1533-position model. Lineage: Bacteria; Bacillati; Bacillota; Bacilli; Lactobacillales; Lactobacillaceae. The record is from RNAcentral.